This 497-nucleotide ribosomal RNA is filed under the name uncultured bacterium. RNAcentral describes it as "partial 16S ribosomal RNA". It matches the Rfam family "Bacterial small subunit ribosomal RNA", at positions 28 to 507 of the family's 1533-position model. The record is from RNAcentral.
GAUGAACGCUGGCGGCGUGCCUAAUACAUGCAAGUCGAGCGAACAGACGAGGAGCUUGCUCCUCUGACGUUAGCGGCGGACGGGUGAGUAACACGUGGAUAACCUACCUAUAAGACUGGGAUAACUUCGGGAAACCGGAGCUAAUACCGGAUAAUAUAUUGAACCGCAUGGUUCAAUAGUGAAAGACGGUUUUGCUGUCACUUAUAGAUGGAUCCGCGCCGCAUUAGCUAGUUGGUAAGGUAACGGCUUACCAAGGCGACGAUGCGUAGCUGACCUGAGAGGGUGAUCGGCCACACUGGAACUGAGACACGGUCCAGACUCCUACGGGAGGCAGCAGUAGGGAAUCUUCCGCAAUGGGCGAAAGCUUGACGGAGCAACGCCGCGUGAGUGAUGAAGGUCUUCGGAUCGUAAAACUCUGUUAUUAGGGAAGAACAAAUGUGUAAGUAACUAUGCACGUCUUGACGGUACCUAAUCAGAAAGCCACGGCUAACUACGUG